GUCAUAAUCUUGUUUGGGAUCAAUCUUAAAUAAUUGAUAUAUAAAGCAUUAUCUUCAAUAAGUAUAUAAUUAUACUUUGAAUAUAUAGUUGGAAUUGCUCCCAUAAAAGCAGAGGCAGUACUCAUCCUCCGAUAUGUGGCUGGUUGAGAAAUGUAUCUUCGCAAAAAAUAAAUGCACAUGUUUUACCCAGAAUAAAUAGAUAAAUAAAUUCACGUGAUCACGAGAAGUGUUGUCACUGUGAAGCCUCUGCUGGUUGAUCGUCAGGGUGGGGGCUUGACCAUUUAGCUAGCCGAGCACGUGCUUUCUCAGCCUCCUCAUCCCAAUCUGAAUAUAUUGUUAUGAUGGCCAAGAUCACCGUCUGAACAGCAGUUCCACCAAAAAUCAUCCCUCCCCAAAUUCCCUUAACACUCAAUUUGAAAACCCAUCCCAUUAGGAAUCCAAGUGGGAGACCAAUUACGUAGUAGCAUCCAAGGUUUACAUAAGCAACCAUUGCUUGCCAUCCUGAUCCCACUGCCACUCCUGAUAGAACUGGCUGGAUACUGUUAAGGAGGAUGGUAACUGCUAGGAAGAUGGAGAGCUUGUCCACCUCUUCAAGAAUAUCACUACUUGAUGUGAAUAUUAGUGCAAAUUUGUUGUGGAAUAUCACGAUAAUUAGACAGAUGAUGAAACCAAUUAUAGUUGAUUCCACCAAGGACACCUGCGUUGCAAACUUGGCUGCUUUGCCAUUCCCAGCUCCUAACUCAUUUGCCACCCUCACCCCUGUAGCUGCAAGGAAGGCCAAAGGGAUCAUGAACUCCCAUCCAUUAAUAGUCAUGCAGAUUGACAAGGCAUCCACAGCUAGUGUUGCAUUUUUCAAGUGCCCAGUCAUCAAUAUUAGUAUUCUAUAGUACCAAUUCUCCAAACAAAGCAUGACUCCAGAAGCAGCAGAGAGUUUGACAAAUUCCCAUAACCCAGAAAAGGCUUCUACUGAAAAACCAGACCAAGUAAGAGGACACCUAUACAAAACAUACCAAAGCAGCGCAAAUACCAUAAACCACCAACACACAUCCAAAGCAAUAGCAGCACCAAUAACUCCAAAAUCCAGCGCAUAAACAAAGAGCCAACUCGUGAACACAUUGAUCCCUAAGGCAGCCAAAGAAACCCAUGCGAUCACCUGAUUCUUUAACUGGCUCUGCAAGAACCUUUGCAAUGGGAAUAUAAACGCAAAGCUGAAGUGCAGUGGUAAUAGCCACAUAGCCACCACCCAUGUCUCCUCUGCUACAUCAUCAGGCUGGCCUAACCAUUUCAGGAUUGGACUGGCAAACACGUAAACUGGCAAAAGCAAAAAACAGCACAGGAAUAGCACAAUCCAUGACCUUUGCAUGUAAAUGCCCAACACCUGGUAUCUUUUUGCACCAAAAGCUUGUCCACAUAGCGUUUCUAAAGCGCUCGCCAUUCCUAGCAGGAGUCCAAAAUUGAAGCCGACAAUAACAGUGUUGGCUAUGGAUAUGGAAGCGAGCUGAACGUCUCCAAGAUGUCCUGCAAAGGCUUGGGUGAUGAUAUUCAUGGAAAAGGAAGCUAUCCUGCUGAAAAUAGCUGGUCCCACGAUUUGCCAUAGCUUCUUGGUUUCAAUCCAGACCUUUGUUGCAAGUUCGCUGGUGCUUUUCUGAUCAUCUUUAUUAACUCCACCUUGUGGUAACAAAGCUUUACUGAGAUCACCAUCUCCAUUGCUACUCUCCAUCGAGAAAAAAUGAAAAAGAAAGAAGAAAACGUUGCUUCUAGUUCUUGCCUUCUUUUGAGUGAGAUUGAUAGGCGAGGAUUAAAAAUCGG
Molecule: unclassified non-coding RNA, 1809 nt
Filed under: Hevea brasiliensis (rubber tree)
Lineage: Eukaryota; Viridiplantae; Streptophyta; Magnoliopsida; Malpighiales; Euphorbiaceae
Source: RNAcentral